AUUGAACGCUGGCGGAAGGAAGAACACAUGCAAGUCGAGCGGAUGAAGGGAGCUUGCUCCUGGAUUCAGCGGCGGACGGGUGAGUAAUGCCUAGGAAUCUGCCUGGUAGUGGGGGAUAACGUCCGGAAACGGGCGCUAAUACCGCAUACGUCCUGAGGGAGAAAGUGGGGGAUCUUCGGACCUCACGCUAUCAGAUGAGCCUAGGUCGGAUUAGCUGGUUGGUGGGGUAAAGGCCUACCAAGGCGACGAUCCGUAACUGGUCUGAGAGGAUGAUCAGUCACACUGGAACUGAGACACGGUCCAGACUCCUACGGGAGGCAGCAGUGGGGAAUAUUGGACAAUGGGCGAAAGCCUGAUCCAGCCAUGCCGCGUGUGUGAAGAAGGUCUUCGGAUUGUAAAGCACUUUAAGUUGGGAGGAAGUGCAGUAAGUUAAUACCUUGCUGUUUUGACGUUACCAACAGAAUAAGCACCGGCUAACUUCGUG
Molecule: ribosomal RNA, 484 nt
Filed under: uncultured bacterium
Lineage: Bacteria
Description: partial 16S ribosomal RNA
Rfam family: Bacterial small subunit ribosomal RNA
Source: RNAcentral